Polypterus senegalus (gray bichir) is the source of this 544-nucleotide long non-coding RNA. RefSeq lists it as uncharacterized. Lineage: Eukaryota; Metazoa; Chordata; Cladistia; Polypteriformes; Polypteridae. The record is from RefSeq and is a predicted model, not a curated record. The transcript has 4 exons.
UUACGUCCUCCUCAGAUCAGGUGCAGUGUCAUUAUACUGUAGCGUGCCAUUUUUCGCGCGUGCGCAUGUGUUUGCAAUCGCGUUGUGUCGGGUGCUCGUUCACCUCUACAGUACCAGCUUUAAUUUGGAAGCGCGCCUGUGAAUAAUACAGCAGCAUCGGACACGCGCCUAUUGCCCAUUCAAGCCCGAAUAAACCCUCUGACUAUCAAGUCAGUGAGCGGACUUGCAAGGGGACAGCAUUGCCCCAUUACCGCAUCCUCUAUCCCCAUAAAAUAAUAGGGAGAAGAAAGUGCUAAGCAUCUACACAGAUACAUGAGAAGCAAAAAAGAGGGUCCUGCUGCCCCAGAGCGACGUCUAACAUGAACUGAGCCAGUCCUAUGCUCUCAUGGCCCAUGUGUGGACCAAGAGUGGAACUCUGACCCUAUGAUUUCCAUGAUGCUGAAAACACGGACGGAAUCACGGAAUUCAUGCUGAAAAACGGAUUUUAGAUUUAAAAACAUAAAUGUGUGGAAUUUAGAGACUGAAGGGGUGACUGUUACAAAAC